This 187-nucleotide ribosomal RNA is filed under the name Helicobacter pylori. RNAcentral describes it as "partial 23S ribosomal RNA". It matches the Rfam family "Bacterial large subunit ribosomal RNA", at positions 1916 to 2102 of the family's 2925-position model. Lineage: Bacteria; Pseudomonadati; Campylobacterota; Epsilonproteobacteria; Campylobacterales; Helicobacteraceae. The record is from RNAcentral.
AGCCCGAGUAAACGGCGGCCGUAACUAUAACGGUCCUAAGGUAGCGAAAUUCCUUGUCGGUUAAAUACCGACCUGCAUGAAUGGCGUAACGAGAUGGGAGCUGUCUCAACCAGAGAUUCAGUGAAAUUGUAGUGGAGGUGAAAAUUCCUCCUACCCGCGGCAAGACGGAGAGACCCCGUGGACCUUU